This 727-nucleotide ribosomal RNA is filed under the name Alkalicoccobacillus gibsonii. RNAcentral describes it as "bacterial SSU rRNA". It matches the Rfam family "Bacterial small subunit ribosomal RNA", at positions 321 to 1038 of the family's 1533-position model. Lineage: Bacteria; Bacillati; Bacillota; Bacilli; Caryophanales; Bacillaceae. The record is from RNAcentral.
GAGACACGGCCCAGACUCGUACGGGAGGCAGCAGUAGGGAAUCUUCCGCAAUGGACGAAAGUCUGACGGAGCAACGCCGCGUGAGUGAUGAAGGGUUUCGGCUCGUAAAGCUCUGUUAUGAGGGAAGAACACGUACCGUUCGAAUAGGGCGGUACCUUGACGGUACCUCAUCAGAAAGCCACGGCUAACUACGUGCCAGCAGCCGCGGUAAUACGUAGGUGGCAAGCGUUGUCCGGAAUUAUUGGGCGUAAAGCGCGCGCAGGCGGCCUUUUAAGUCUGAUGUGAAAUCUUGCGGCUCAACCGCAAGCGGCCAUUGGAAACUGGGAGGCUUGAGUACAGAAGAGGAGAGUGGAAUUCCACGUGUAGCGGUGAAAUGCGUAGAUAUGUGGAGGAACACCAGUGGCGAAGGCGACUCUCUGGUCUGUAACUGACGCUGAGGCGCGAAAGCGUGGGGAGCAAACAGGAUUAGAUACCCUGGUAGUCCACGCCGUAAACGAUGAGUGCUAGGUGUUAGGGGUUUCGAUGCCCGUAGUGCCGAAGUUAACACAUUAAGCACUCCGCCUGGGGAGUACGGCCGCAAGGCUGAAACUCAAAGGAAUUGACGGGGGCCCGCACAAGCAGUGGAGCAUGUGGUUUAAUUCGAAGCAACGCGAAGAACCUUACCAGGUCUUGACAUCCUUUGACCACUCUGGAGACAGAGCUUCCCCUUCGGGGGCAAAGUGACAGG